This 978-nucleotide ribosomal RNA is filed under the name uncultured bacterium. RNAcentral describes it as "bacterial SSU rRNA". It matches the Rfam family "Bacterial small subunit ribosomal RNA", at positions 61 to 1020 of the family's 1533-position model. The record is from RNAcentral.
GUCGAGNGGANUGAUGGGAGCUUGNUCCCUGAUGUCAGCGGCGGACGGGUGAGUAACACGUGGGCAACCUGUCUGUAAGACUGGGAUAANUCCGGGAAACCGGGGCUAAUACCGGAUAACCCGUUCCACCUCAUGGUGGAGCGGUAAAAGAUGGCCUCUGGCUAUCACUUACAGAUGGGCCCGCGGCGCNNNGCUAGUUGGUAAGGUAACGGCUUACCAAGGCGACGAUGCGUAGCCGACCUGAGAGGGUGAUCGGCCACACUGGGACUGAGACACGGCCCAGACUCCUACGGGAGGCAGCAGUAGGGAAUCUUCCGCAAUGGACGAAAGUCUGACGGAGCAACGCCGCGUGAGUGAUGAAGGUUUUCGGAUCGUAAAGCUCUGUUGUUAGGGAAGAACAAGUGCCGUUCGAAUAGGUCGGCACCUUGACGGUACCUAACCAGAAAGCCACGGCUAACUACGUGCCAGCAGCCGCGGUAAUACGUAGGUGGCAAGCGUUGUCCGGAAUUAUUGGGCGUAAAGCGCGCGCAGGCGGUCUUUUAAGUCUGAUGUGAAAGCCCACGGCUCAACCGUGGAGGGUCAUUGGAAACUGGGAGACUUGAGUACAGAAGAGGAGAGUGGAAUUCCACGUGUAGCGGUGAAAUGCGUAGAUAUGUGGAGGAACACCAGUGGCGAAGGCGACUCUCUGGUCUGUAACUGACGCUGAGACGCGAAAGCGUGGGGAGCAAACAGGAUUAGAUACCCUGGUAGUCCACGCCGUAAACGAUGAGUGCUAGGUGUUAGGGGUUUCGAUGCCCUUAGUGCCGAAGUUAACACAUUAAGCACUCCGCCUGGGGAGUACGACCGCAAGGUUGAAACUCAAAGGAAUUGACGGGGGCCCGCACAAGCAGUGGAGCAUGUGGUUUAAUUCGAAGCAACGCGAAGAACCUUACCAGGUCUUGACAUCCUUUGACCACUCUAGAGAUAGAGCUUUCCCCU